AGCCAUGUGGUGAGCACAAAGCGAACUAUUCUUUCGCCUUUUACUAAAGAAUACCGUGUGCUCUCCACGCUAAGUGGCAUACGCCUAUUUUUGGAGGGUCCCACUUUCGAGUGGGCCC
This is a non-coding RNA of Brassica rapa (field mustard), 118 nucleotides long. Lineage: Eukaryota; Viridiplantae; Streptophyta; Magnoliopsida; Brassicales; Brassicaceae. The record is from Rfam.